GACGAAGGGGGCUAGCGUUGUUCGGAAUUACUGGGCGUAAAGCGCGUGUAGGCGGUUGCCCAAGUCGGGUGUGAAAGCCUUGAGCUCAACUCAAGAAAUGCACUCGGUACUGGGUGACUAGAGGACCGGAGAGGAUAGUGGAAUUCCCAGUGUAGUGGUGAAAUACGUAGAGAUUGGGAAGAACACCAGUGGCGAAGGCGGCUAUCUGGACGGUUUCUGACGCUAAGACGCGAAAGCGUGGUGAGCAAACAGG
RNAcentral lists this ribosomal RNA (253 nucleotides) under uncultured bacterium. Its description in RNAcentral is "partial 16S ribosomal RNA". It matches the Rfam family "Bacterial small subunit ribosomal RNA", at positions 524 to 776 of the family's 1533-position model. The record is from RNAcentral.